This 467-nucleotide ribosomal RNA is filed under the name uncultured bacterium. RNAcentral describes it as "partial 16S ribosomal RNA". It matches the Rfam family "Bacterial small subunit ribosomal RNA", at positions 29 to 507 of the family's 1533-position model. The record is from RNAcentral.
ACGAACGCUGGCGGCGUGCUUAACACAUGCAUGUCGCACGGAAAGGCCCUGCUUUUGUGGGGUGCUCGAGUGGCGAACGGGUGAGUAACACGUGAGUAACCUGCCCUUGACUUUGGGAUAACUUCAGGAAACUGGGGCUAAUACCGGAUAGGAGCUCCUGCUGCAUGGUGGGGGUUGGAAAGUUUCGGCGGUUGGGGAUGGACUCGCGGCUUAUCAGCUUGUUGGUGGGGUAGUGGCUUACCAAGGCUUUGACGGGUAGCCGGCCUGAGAGGGUGACCGGCCACAUUGGGACUGAGAUACGGCCCAGACUCCUACGGGAGGCAGCAGUGGGGAAUAUUGCACAAUGGGCGGAAGCCUGAUGCAGCAACGCCGCGUGCGGGAUGACGGCCUUCGGGUUGUAAACCGCUUUCGCCUGUGACGAAGCGUGAGUGACGGUAAUGGGUAAAGAAGCACCGGCUAACUACGUG